Molecule: ribosomal RNA, 505 nt
Filed under: uncultured bacterium
Lineage: Bacteria
Description: partial 16S ribosomal RNA
Rfam family: Bacterial small subunit ribosomal RNA
Source: RNAcentral
GACGGACGCUGGCGGCGUGCCUAAUACAUGCAAGUAGAACGCACAGUUUAUACCGUAGCUUGCUACACCAUAGACUGUGAGUUGCGAACGGGUGAGUAACGCGUAGGUAACCUGCCUGGUAGCGGGGGAUAACUAUUGGAAACGAUAGCUAAUACCGCAUAAUAUUAAUUAUUGCAUGAUAAUUAAUUGAAAGGUGCAAUUGCACCACUACCAGAUGGACCUGCGUUGUAUUAGCUAGUAGGUGAGGUAACGGCUCACCUAGGCGACGAUACAUAGCCGACCUGAGAGGGUGAUCGGCCACACUGGGACUGAGACACGGCCCAGACUCCUACGGGAGGCAGCAGUAGGGAAUCUUCGGCAAUGGACGAAAGUCUGACCGAGCAACGCCGCGUGAGUGAAGAAGGUUUUCGGAUCGUAAAGCUCUGUUGUAAGAGAAGAACGGGUGUGAGAGUGGAAAGUUCACACUGUGACGGUAUCUUACCAGAAAGGGACGGCUAACUACGUG